Molecule: long non-coding RNA, 594 nt
Organism: Mauremys reevesii (Reeves's turtle)
Lineage: Eukaryota; Metazoa; Chordata; Testudines; Geoemydidae
Exons: 3
Source: RefSeq, a predicted model, not a curated record
UACCCUGAAGAAGGCUGGCCGAGCCUUCCCCGAGCCCGGUAUCCUGAAGUGGACUGGCCGAGCCUUCCCCGAGCACGGUACUCCGAGGAGCUACCCGAGCGUAACCCCGACCCGCGUCCUGAGGAACAGCCCGAGCUAGCCGACACUGAGCACGACGAGGAGCCCAUGGUGUGGUACCCCACGCCGGACACCAGUACUGAGCAGGCUGGGCAGACAGACAGAAGAGGCAAGACAGCUGGAUUUCAGAUACUGUGAGACUCCCACUCAGUGGAACUGCUGCUGCACUGUGUUUCCUCUCAUCCUGCUCCUCAUGCCCUGCUGGAGUAGUCAGCGGCUGGGGUUGCAGGAACAAAGUUGUGCAUACCCAAUGAGCACUGGAGGACGCAGAAGAGGAGUUCCCCUUCCAGUGGCUACCACAGCAAUGAACUGCCUGCUUGUGGGGGAGGCAAGCCUGGGGAACAGAUGAAAGAGAGAAAAGUAAGGGAGCAAUGUGGUAAGGAAACAAAAGGUUUGGAUAUUCUUUGUACUGAUUUUGCUGCAAAGUGUACUCACCAAUGUGAUAUGUUUUCAUGCACCAUCAGCCUCCAUGUCCUG